RNAcentral lists this ribosomal RNA (253 nucleotides) under uncultured bacterium. Its description in RNAcentral is "partial 16S ribosomal RNA". It matches the Rfam family "Bacterial small subunit ribosomal RNA", at positions 524 to 776 of the family's 1533-position model. The record is from RNAcentral.
UACGUAGGUGACCAGCGUUGUCCGGAUUUACUGGGCGUAAAGAGCGCGCAGGCGGUCGUUCAAGUCGAGUGUGAAAGCCCCCGGCUCAACUGGGGAGGGUCAUUCGAUACUGAUCGACUGGAAGGCAGGAGAGGGAAGCGGAAUUCCGGGUGUAGCGGUGAAAUGCAUAGAUAUGACACAGAACACCGAUUGCGAAGGCAGCUGACGAAACUGUAACUGACGCUGAUGCACGAAAGCGUGGGGAUCAAACAGG